This 1127-nucleotide ribosomal RNA is filed under the name uncultured Bacteroides sp. Its description in RNAcentral is "bacterial SSU rRNA". It matches the Rfam family "Bacterial small subunit ribosomal RNA", at positions 50 to 1176 of the family's 1533-position model. The record is from RNAcentral. Lineage: Bacteria; Pseudomonadati; Bacteroidota; Bacteroidia; Bacteroidales; Bacteroidaceae.
AACACAUGCAAGUCGAGGGGCAGCAUUGGAGUAGCAAUACUUCAGAUGGCGACCGGCGCACGGGUGAGUAACACGUAUCCAACCUGCCGCUUACUCGGGGAUAGCCUUUCGAAAGAAAGAUUAAUACCCGAUGGUAUAAAGAGUUCGCAUGUUCUCUUUAUUAAAGAAUUUCGGUAAGCGAUGGGGAUGCGUUCCAUUAGAUUGUUGGCGGGGUAACGGCCCACCAAGUCUACGAUGGAUAGGGGUUCUGAGAGGAAGGUCCCCCACAUUGGAACUGAGACACGGUCCAAAUCCUACGGGAGGCAGCAGUGAGGAAUAUUGGUCAAUGGACGAGAGUCUGAACCAGCCAAGUAGCGUGAAGGAUGACUGCCCUAUGGGUUGUAAACUUCUUUUAUAAGGGAAUAAAGUGAGGGACGUGUCCCUUUUUGUAUGUACCUUAUGAAUAAGGAUCGGCUAACUCCGUGCCAGCAGCCGCGGUAAUACGGAGGAUCCGAGCGUUAUCCGGAUUUAUUGGGUUUAAAGGGAGCGUAGGUUGACGUAUAAGUCAGCUGUGAAAGUCUACGGCUCAACCGUGAAAUUGCAGUUGAUACUGUAUGUCUUGAGUGUACAAGAGGUGGGCGGAAUUCGUGGUGUAGCGGUGAAAUGCUUAGAUAUCACGAAGAACUCCAAUUGCGAAGGCAGCUCACUGGGGUACAACUGACACUGAGGCUCGAAAGUGUGGGUAUCAAACAGGAUUAGAUACCCUGGUAGUCCACACAGUAAACGAUGAAUACUCGCUGUUUGCGAUAUACAGUAAGCGGCCAAGCGAAAGCAUUAAGUAUUCCACCUGGGGAGUACGCCGGCAACGGUGAAACUCAAAGGAAUUGACGGGGGCCCGCACAAGCGGAGGAACAUGUGGUUUAAUUCGAUGAUACGCGAGGAACCUUACCCGGGCUUGAAUUGCAGAGGAACAUAGUUGAAAGAUUAUGGCCGCAAGGUCUCUGUGAAGGUGCUGCAUGGUUGUCGUCAGCUCGUGCCGUGAGGUGUCGGCUUAAGUGCCAUAACGAGCGCAACCCUUAUCAUUAGUUACUAACAGGUUAUGCUGAGGACUCUAGUGAGACUGCCGUCGUAAGAUGUGAGGAAGGUGG